GAUGAACGCUAGCGGCAGGCCUAAUACAUGCAAGUCGAACGGUAACAGGUUAAGCUGACGAGUGGCGAACGGGUGAGUAAUGCAUCGGAACGUGCCCAGUCGUGGGGGAUAACGCAGCGAAAGCUGUGCUAAUACCGCAUACGAUCUGCGGAUGAAAGCGGGGGACCUUAGGGCCUCGCGCGAUUGGAGCGGCCGAUGUCAGAUUAGGUAGUUGGUGGGGUAAAGGCCCACCAAGCCAACGAUCCGUAGCUGGUUUGAGAGGACGACCAGCCACACUGGGACUGAGACACGGCCCAGACUCCUACGGGAGGCAGCAGUGGGGAAUUUUGGACAAUGGGGGAAACCCUGAUCCAGCCAUUCCGCGUGUGCGAUGAAGGCCUUCGGGUUGUAAAGCACUUUGGCAGGAAAGAAAUCGCACGGGUUAAUAACCCGUGUGGAUGACGGUACCUGCAGAAUAAGCACCGGCUAACUACGUG
Molecule: ribosomal RNA, 476 nt
Filed under: uncultured bacterium
Lineage: Bacteria
Description: bacterial SSU rRNA
Rfam family: Bacterial small subunit ribosomal RNA
Source: RNAcentral